This 692-nucleotide ribosomal RNA is filed under the name Talaromyces sp. LGT-2. Its description in RNAcentral is "eukaryotic LSU rRNA". The stretch from base 165 to 318 matches the Rfam family "5.8S ribosomal RNA". Lineage: Eukaryota; Fungi; Ascomycota; Eurotiomycetes; Eurotiales; Trichocomaceae. The record is from RNAcentral.
UUUUACUAUGGGGUACGGACUGACUCCGGGCGCCCAACCUCCCACCCGUGAAUACCUAACACUGUUGCUUCGGCGGGGAACCCCCUCGGGGGCGAGCCGCCGGGGACUACUGAACUUCAUGCCUGAGAGUGAUGCAGUCUGAGUCUGAAUAUAAAAUCAGUCAAAACUUUCAACAAUGGAUCUCUUGGUUCCGGCAUCGAUGAAGAACGCAGCGAACUGCGAUAAGUAAUGUGAAUUGCAGAAUUCAGUGAAUCAUCGAGUCUUUGAACGCACAUUGCGCCCCCUGGCAUUCCGGGGGGCAUGCCUGUCCGAGCGUCAUUGCUGCCCAUCAAGCCCGGCUUGUGUGUUGGGUCGUCGUCCCCCCCGGGGGACGGGCCCGAAAGGCAGCGGCGGCACCGUGUCCGGUCCUCGAGCGUAUGGGGCUUUGUCACCCGCUCGACUAGGGCCGGCCGGGCGCCAGCCGACGUCUCCAACCAUUUUUCUUCAGGUUGACCUCGGAUCAGGUAGGGAUACCCGCUGAACUUAAGCAUAUCAAAAGCCGGAGGAACCCGAAUACGAUGAAAUUACGAUGUAAGGACAUUCAAUCCAACUGGGGCUGGGUCACGAGCCCCCGUUCAACCCAACCGGGAGCCUUACCAGUAAAUGUCGUCAUUGAUCCAACACAAUAAAUAACCAAGUAAUAGUCAUAAAAA